RNAcentral lists this transfer RNA (75 nucleotides) under uncultured Actinomycetes bacterium. RNAcentral describes it as "uncultured actinobacterium tRNA-Gly". It matches the Rfam family "tRNA". From Rfam's summary of the family: Transfer RNA (tRNA) molecules are approximately 80 nucleotides in length. Their secondary structure includes four short double-helical elements and three loops (D, anti-codon, and T loops). The record is from RNAcentral. Lineage: Bacteria; Bacillati; Actinomycetota; Actinomycetes.
GGGGGCGUGUUGUAAUUGGCAGCCUAGUUGUUUACCAAGUAUCUGGAGCGGGUUCAAAUCCCGUCGCCUCCACCA